RNAcentral lists this ribosomal RNA (2934 nucleotides) under Yersinia pestis 24H. RNAcentral describes it as "bacterial LSU rRNA". It matches the Rfam family "Bacterial large subunit ribosomal RNA". Lineage: Bacteria; Pseudomonadati; Pseudomonadota; Gammaproteobacteria; Enterobacterales; Yersiniaceae. The record is from RNAcentral.
GGGUUGUGAGGUUAAGCGACUAAGCGUACACGGUGGAUGCCUAGGCAGUCACAGGCGAUGAAGGGCGUGCUAAUCUGCGAAAAGCGUCGGUAAGCUGAUAUGAAGCGUUAUAACCGACGAUACCCGAAUGGGGAAACCCAGUGCAAUACGUUGCACUAUCGUUAGAUGAAUACAUAGUCUAACGAGGCGAACCGGGGGAACUGAAACAUCUAAGUACCCCGAGGAAAAGAAAUCAACCGAGAUUCCCCCAGUAGCGGCGAGCGAACGGGGAGGAGCCCAGAGUCUGAAUCAGUUUGUGUGUUAGUGGAAGCGUCUGGAAAGUCGCACGGUACAGGGUGAUAGUCCCGUACACCAAAAUGCACAGGCUGUGAACUCGAUGAGUAGGGCGGGACACGUGACAUCCUGUCUGAAUAUGGGGGGACCAUCCUCCAAGGCUAAAUACUCCUGACUGACCGAUAGUGAACCAGUACCGUGAGGGAAAGGCGAAAAGAACCCCGGCGAGGGGAGUGAAAUAGAACCUGAAACCGUGUACGUACAAGCAGUGGGAGCACCUUCGUGGUGUGACUGCGUACCUUUUGUAUAAUGGGUCAGCGACUUAUAUUUUGUAGCAAGGUUAACCGAAUAGGGGAGCCGUAGGGAAACCGAGUCUUAACUGGGCGUCUAGUUGCAAGGUAUAGACCCGAAACCCGGUGAUCUAGCCAUGGGCAGGUUGAAGGUUGGGUAACACUAACUGGAGGACCGAACCGACUAAUGUUGAAAAAUUAGCGGAUGACUUGUGGCUGGGGGUGAAAGGCCAAUCAAACCGGGAGAUAGCUGGUUCUCCCCGAAAGCUAUUUAGGUAGCGCCUCGUGAACUCAUCUUCGGGGGUAGAGCACUGUUUCGGCUAGGGGGCCAUCCCGGCUUACCAAACCGAUGCAAACUCCGAAUACCGAAGAAUGUUAUCACGGGAGACACACGGCGGGUGCUAACGUCCGUCGUGAAGAGGGAAACAACCCAGACCGCCAGCUAAGGUCCCAAAGUCAUGGUUAAGUGGGAAACGAUGUGGGAAGGCACAGACAGCCAGGAUGUUGGCUUAGAAGCAGCCAUCAUUUAAAGAAAGCGUAAUAGCUCACUGGUCGAGUCGGCCUGCGCGGAAGAUGUAACGGGGCUAAACCAUGCACCGAAGCUGCGGCAGCGACACUUAGGUGUUGUUGGGUAGGGGAGCGUUCUGUAAGCCGUUGAAGGUGACCUGUGAGGGUUGCUGGAGGUAUCAGAAGUGCGAAUGCUGACAUAAGUAACGAUAAUGCGGGUGAAAAACCCGCACGCCGGAAGACCAAGGGUUCCUGUCCAACGUUAAUCGGGGCAGGGUGAGUCGACCCCUAAGGCGAGGCUGAAAAGCGUAGUCGAUGGGAAACAGGUUAAUAUUCCUGUACUUGGUGUUACUGCGAAGGGGGGACGGAGAAGGCUAGGCUGGCCGGGCGACGGUUGUCCCGGUUUAAGCGUGUAGGGGGAGUGACCAGGUAAAUCCGGUUGCUUAUCAACCCUGAGGCGUGAUGACGAUGCACCACGGUGCAGAAGCAGUUGAUGCCAUGCUUCCAGGAAAAGCCUCUAAGCAUCAGGUAACAUUAAAUCGUACCCCAAACCGACACAGGUGGUCAGGUAGAGAAUACUCAGGCGCUUGAGAGAACUCGGGUGAAGGAACUAGGCAAAAUGGUGCCGUAACUUCGGGAGAAGGCACGCUGGCGUUAGGUGAAAGGACUAGCUCCUGGAGCUGAAGCCAGUCGCAGAUACCAGCUGGCUGCAACUGUUUAAUAAAAACACAGCACUGUGCAAACACGAAAGUGGACGUAUACGGUGUGACGCCUGCCCGGUGCUGGAAGGUUAAUUGAUGGGGUCAGCCGCAAGGCGAAGCUCUUGAUCGAAGCCCCAGUAAACGGCGGCCGUAACUAUAACGGUCCUAAGGUAGCGAAAUUCCUUGUCGGGUAAGUUCCGACCUGCACGAAUGGCGUAAUGAUGGCCAGGCUGUCUCCACCCGAGACUCAGUGAAAUUGAACUCGCUGUGAAGAUGCAGUGUACCCGCGGCAAGACGGAAAGACCCCGUGAACCUUUACUAUAGCUUGACACUGAACAUUGAGCCUUGAUGUGUAGGAUAGGUGGGAGGCCUUGAAGUGUGGACGCCAGUCUGCAUGGAGCCAACCUUGAAAUACCACCCUUUAAUGUUUGAUGUUCUAACUCGGCCCCAUGAUCUGGGGUGAGGACAGUGUCUGGUGGGUAGUUUGACUGGGGCGGUCUCCUCCCAAAGAGUAACGGAGGAGCACGAAGGUUAGCUAAUCACGGUCGGACAUCGUGAGGUUAGUGCAAAGGCAUAAGCUAGCUUGACUGCGAGAGUGACGGCUCGAGCAGGUACGAAAGUAGGUCUUAGUGAUCCGGUGGUUCUGAAUGGAAGGGCCAUCGCUCAACGGAUAAAAGGUACUCCGGGGAUAACAGGCUGAUACCGCCCAAGAGUUCAUAUCGACGGCGGUGUUUGGCACCUCGAUGUCGGCUCAUCACAUCCUGGGGCUGAAGUAGGUCCCAAGGGUAUGGCUGUUCGCCAUUUAAAGUGGUACGCGAGCUGGGUUUAGAACGUCGUGAGACAGUUCGGUCCCUAUCUGCCGUGGGCGUUGGAAGAUUGAGAGGGGCUGCUCCUAGUACGAGAGGACCGGAGUGGACGAAUCACUGGUGUUCGGGUUGUCAUGCCAAUGGCAUUGCCCGGUAGCUAAAUUCGGAAGAGAUAACCGCUGAAAGCAUCUAAGCGGGAAACUUGCCUCGAGAUGAGUCUUCCCUGGGGCUUAAAGCCCCCUGAAGGAACGUUAAAGACUAUGACGUUGAUAGGCUGGGUGUGUAAGUGCAGCGAUGUAUUGAGCUAACCAGUACUAAUGAUCCGUGAGGCUUAACCUUACAACACCGAAGGUGUUU